AACGAACGCUGGCGGCAGGCCUAACACAUGCAAGUCGAGCGCCCAGCAAUGGGAGCGGCAGACGGGUGAGUAACGCGUGGGAACCUUCCCAAUGGUACGGAAUAGCUCAGGGAAACUUGAGGUAAUACCGCAUAAGCCCGAAAGGGAAAGAUUUAUCGCCGAGGGAUCGGCCCGCGUCUGAUUAGCUAGUUGGUGAGGUAACGGCCCACCAAGGCGACGAUCAGUAGCUGGUCUGAGAGGAUGACCAGCCACACUGGGACUGAGACACGGCCCAGACUCCUACGGGAGGCAGCAGUGGGGAAUCUUGGACAAUGGGCGCAAGCCUGAUCCAGCCAUGCCGCGUGAGUGAUGGAGGCCUUAGGGUUGUAAAGCUCUUUCGACGGGGACGAUAAUGACGGUACCCGUAGAAGAAGCCCCGGCUAACUUCGUGCCAGCCGCCGCGGUAAC
RNAcentral lists this ribosomal RNA (447 nucleotides) under uncultured bacterium. RNAcentral describes it as "bacterial SSU rRNA". It matches the Rfam family "Bacterial small subunit ribosomal RNA", at positions 29 to 524 of the family's 1533-position model. The record is from RNAcentral.